AUCGAGCAAAGGCUUCCCAUACCUUAUGGUAAGUAGAAGAAGUAGAAGGAUUCCUGGAACGUAACAGGGUAGAGAUAACCUGGUCCGAAAGGCCAUGUUCAACUAUAGACUUCCUCUCAAUAGCCAUGCAUGGAGCCUGAAUUUGUGAGGCACCGGAUGAAACACUGGACCCUGAAUCAGCAGGUCUUCGAGACUGGAAGUUCCCAAGGCAGGUCCAUUGAUAACCUCUGUAACAGGGGAAACCAAGGGCGACGAGGCCAGAAGGGAAGUACAGCUAUCAACUUGCAACGUUCCUUGGAGAUCUUUCUCAGGACAGCGUGGAUGAGGGGAAUUGGAGGAAAGAUGUAAGCCAGAUCGAAUACCCAAUUGAUGGAUAGAGCAUCCUGAGCAACCGCCUUUGGAUGGUAUCUCCUCGACACAAAGCAUGGAACCUGCGCAUUCCGAAAGGUCGCCAUGAGGUCUACUUGGGGAAGUCCCCACUUCUGGACCAACUGAGCGAAGAUCCUCCUGGAAAGUUGCCAUUCCGAAGCUUCUAUCCGAUGUCUGCUGAGGAAAUCACUAAUAUAUUCUCCUUCCAUGGGAGAUAGGUGGCAAACAGGCCCUUCACAUGAUUCUGAGCCCAGGUCAUAAUGGGAACGAUCUCUCUCAUCAGGGCUACACUCCUUGUUCCGCCUUGAUGGUUUAUGUAAGCAGCAGCCGCUUUGUUGUCCACUCUCAACUUGACCCAGCAAUGCCUGAUGACAUGCUGAAAAUGAAGAAGAGCCAGAAAGGUUGCUCUUAGCUCCCUGAUGUUGGAAGGCAAGCAUUGGGUUCUUGGAGGCCAUUUUGCUUGAAAAAAUCGAUUGCCUAAAUGUGCCCCCCAACCUGUCAGACUGGCAUCUGUCGUAAUGACCACCCAAUCUAUUUCCCGCAAGGGGAACCCUCAGGAGAGAUUUUCCCACGACAUCCACCAAAGGAGCUUCUGCUUCAGAACAAAAGGAAUGCGAAUCAGUGUCUCCCAAUCCCUUGAGUCGGUCCUGAAAUUUUUCAGAAAAAAUUGUUGAAGAGCGCGAAGGUUCCACUGAGCCCACCUGACAAGCUCUAUUGUGGAGGAAAGAGUCCCCAGAAGCAUCAUAAACUCUCUUGCCGAGGCUGAAGUCUUCAGUCUGAAGUCCCUUAUCUGAUCUUGAAGUAUGAUCUUUCUGUCAUGUGCGAGGGAUACAAUUGCCGUGUCUGUAUUGAAAUUUGCUCCCAGGAAUAUCAGUUCUCUUGAAGGAUGCAAGUGACUCUUCUCAUAAUUGAUGAGCCAACCGAAAUGAGAUAGAGUGUCGAGGACUAGUUGUCUGUGUUGGAAUAUUGAUCCUAGGUCCAGGGCCACUACCAGGAUGUCGUCCAGGUAGUGAAACACCGCUACACCUUCUUUUCUGAGCAAAGCAAUGAUGGUGACCAGAACCUUCGAGAAGGUCCUCGGGGCCGUACUUAUACCAAAAGGAAGGGCCUGAAAUUGAAAGUGUUCCUUCCGGACACAAAACCUGAGAAACUUUUGAUGGGUGAUCGUGAUAGGGACAUGAAAAUAUGCAUCCCUGAGAUCUACUGAUAUCAUCCAAUCUCGGUGAUGAACAACCGGAAUGAUGGAGCGAAUGGAUUCCAUGCG
RNAcentral lists this long non-coding RNA (1633 nucleotides) under Pelobates cultripes (western spadefoot toad). Lineage: Eukaryota; Metazoa; Chordata; Amphibia; Anura; Pelobatidae. The record is from RNAcentral.